This 397-nucleotide ribosomal RNA is filed under the name uncultured bacterium. Its description in RNAcentral is "bacterial SSU rRNA". It matches the Rfam family "Bacterial small subunit ribosomal RNA", at positions 362 to 776 of the family's 1533-position model. The record is from RNAcentral.
UAUUGGACAAUGGGCGCAAGCCUGAUCCAGCCAUGCCGCGUGAGUGAUGAAGGCCUUAGGGUUGUAAAGCUCUUUUGUCCGGGAAGAUAAUGACUGUACCGGAAGAAUAAGCCCCGGCUAACUUCGUGCCAGCAGCCGCGGUAAUACGAAGGGGGCUAGCGUUGCUCGGAAUCACUGGGCGUAAAGGGCGCGUAGGCGGACUCUUAAGUCGGGGGUGAAAGCCCAGGGCUCAACCCUGGAAUUGCCCUCGAUACUGAGAGUCUUGAGUUCGGAAGAGGUUGGUGGAACUGCGAGUGUAGAGGUGAAAUUCGUAGAUAUUCGCAAGAACACCAGUGGCGAAGGCGGCCAACUGGUCCGAUACUGACGCUGAGGCGCGAAAGCGUGGGGAGCAAACAGG